UAAACGACUCUCGGCAACGGAUAUCUCGGCUCUCGCAUCGAUGAAGAACGUAGCGAAAUGCAAUACUUGGUGUGAAUUGCAGAAUCCCGUGAACCAUCGAGUCUUUGAACGCAAGUUGCGCCCGAAGCCAUUAGGCCGAGGGCACGCCUGCCUGGGCGUCACAC
This 164-nucleotide ribosomal RNA is filed under the name Rubus fasciculatus. RNAcentral's name for it is "5.8S ribosomal RNA". It matches the Rfam family "5.8S ribosomal RNA". From Rfam's summary of the family: 5.8S ribosomal RNA (5.8S rRNA) is a component of the large subunit of the eukaryotic ribosome. It is transcribed by RNA polymerase I as part of the 45S precursor that also contains 18S and 28S rRNA. Lineage: Eukaryota; Viridiplantae; Streptophyta; Magnoliopsida; Rosales; Rosaceae. The record is from RNAcentral.